UGGGGAAUCUUAGACAAUGGGGGAAACCCUGAUCUAGCCAUGCCGCGUGAUCGAUGAAGGCCUUAGGGUUGUAAAGAUCUUUCAGAUGGGAAGAUAAUGACGGUACCAUCAGAAGAAGCCCCGGCUAACUCCGUGCCAGCAGCCGCGGUAAUACGGAGGGGGCUAGCGUUAUUCGGAAUUACUGGGCGUAAAGCGCACGUAGGCGGAUUAGAAAGUCAGAGGUGAAAUCCCAGGGCUCAACCUUGGAACUGCCUUUGAAACUCCUAGUCUUGAGGUCGAGAGAGGUGAGUGGAAUUCCGAGUGUAGAGGUGAAAUUCGUAGAUAUUCGGAGGAACACCAGUGGCGAAGGCGGCUCACUGGCUCGAUACUGACGCUGAGGUGCGAAAGCGCGGGGAGCAAACAGGAUUAGAUACCCUGGUAGUCCACGCCGUAAACGAUGAAUGCCAGUCGUCGGGUAGCAUGCUAUUCGGUGACACACCUAACGGAUUAAGCAUUCCGCCUGGGGAGUACGGUCGCAAGAUUA
RNAcentral lists this ribosomal RNA (523 nucleotides) under uncultured bacterium. RNAcentral's name for it is "bacterial SSU rRNA". It matches the Rfam family "Bacterial small subunit ribosomal RNA", at positions 355 to 896 of the family's 1533-position model. The record is from RNAcentral.